This 253-nucleotide ribosomal RNA is filed under the name uncultured bacterium. Its description in RNAcentral is "partial 16S ribosomal RNA". It matches the Rfam family "Bacterial small subunit ribosomal RNA", at positions 524 to 776 of the family's 1533-position model. The record is from RNAcentral.
UACAGAGGUCCCAAGCGUUGUUCGGAUUCACUGGGCGUAAAGGGUGCGUAGGUGGCAGGGUAAGUUUGAUGUGAAAUCUCCGAGCUUAACUCGGAAACUGCAUUGAAUACUAUCCUGCUCGAGGUUUGGAGGGGGGACUGGAAUUCUCGGUGUAGCAGUGAAAUGCGCAGAUAUCGGGAGGAACACCGGUGGCGAAGGCGGCAUCCUGGCCCAGAACUGACGCUGAGGCGCGAGAGCGUGGGGAGCGAACCGG